AGAUCAGCCCUGGGGUUCAGAGGGAUCCUGACAGCUACUCCUCAAGAUCCUCUCUGUUGUGAUUCAUCCCCCCGGGGCCCUACAGUUUCUCCUUCCUGACUCUUACAUUUCUUUGGAUGGCAUCAUUAUUUACCUGUCUCCUCCCAUAGUUAGGUGCCAAGCACUGUGGAUUCUGCCUCUCAGUGUCCAGACACCCAUUUUCCUUCCCACUGUUCCUUCCCCAUGGAGAAGCCUGUGGCUGGCUGACAGCAGAGAGAGAUGCUCAACUUGGAGAAGGUGUUACCUGGGCCAGGUGGGGAAGGUUUGUUUGCAGAGCAAAGAAGUGAAGAUCCUCAUGUGACAGGUGACCUGCCAUAUAAUCAGAAGGAAGAAAUGUUACACAGAGAGGCUGAGAAGAAUCUGAGGACUUGCUAAGUUUUCCCCAGUUUAUUACCAUUAGAUCAUAUGCCUUUUUUGUUCAAUCAUACUUCUAUACAACUGUCCAUCAUUCAUUAAACCUAACCACAAAAGUAGUUUUCACUCGGUUUUUGAGUGAAGGCUCCUGUGUCACAUAAAACUUACAUUAAAUAAAUUUGUUCCA
This 580-nucleotide long non-coding RNA is filed under the name Homo sapiens (human). RNAcentral's name for it is "non-protein coding lnc-METTL5-4:131". The record is from RNAcentral. Lineage: Eukaryota; Metazoa; Chordata; Mammalia; Primates; Hominidae.